This 466-nucleotide ribosomal RNA is filed under the name uncultured bacterium. Its description in RNAcentral is "partial 16S ribosomal RNA". It matches the Rfam family "Bacterial small subunit ribosomal RNA", at positions 28 to 505 of the family's 1533-position model. The record is from RNAcentral.
GACGAACGCUGGCGGCGUGCUUAACACAUGCAAGUCGAACGGAAAGGCCCUGCUUUUGUGGGGUGCUCGAGUGGCGAACGGGUGAGUAACACGUGAGUAACCUGCCCUUGACUUUGGGAUAACUUCAGGAAACUGGGGCUAAUACCGGAUAGGAGCUCCUGCUGCAUGGUGGGGGUUGGAAAGUUUCGGCGGUUGGGGAUGGACUCGCGGCUUAUCAGCUUGUUGGUGGGGUAGUGGCUUACCAAGGCUUUGACGGGUAGCCGGCCUGAGAGGGUGACCGGCCACAUUGGGACUGAGAUACGGCCCAGACGCCUACGGGAGGCAGCAGUGGGGAAUAUUGCACAAUGGGCGGAAGCCUGAUGCAGGAACGCCGCGUGCGGGAUGACGGCCUUCGGGUUGUAAACCGCUUUCGCCUGUGACGAAGCGUGAGUGACGGUAAGGGGUAAAGAAGCACCGGCUAACUACG